CAGUUUUGAACAGUGUCUCUUUAUGGCCUGGCAUGUACUUGUGGAAGGUUCCAAGUUACACCUAUGGAACAGGAGGUUGGAAGAACAAAACAAUGCAAGAAACAGAACUACUGCAAGCCAAUACGUCCAGGGUGUCUGUAAACUGAAGAGGCUGAAAAGCAGGAGAUUGAGGUAGGGAGGACAAUUUCUUUUUUUCUCUGGAUACUCUGGAUAUCUCAGCAAUGAGAGAGCUGUUCUGAUCACUCACCCAUCUUUCUCCACCCCUACUGUCUACUACUUCCUUGAUCGGGUCAUUGCAAAAAUAACGGAAGGUCUCCUUUGAAGAUGUUUUCUAAUAAGGAAAUGUUAUCCCUUAGGGGUAGAUGAACAGUUUAUAGGGGAAUCCUAGGAGGGCUAUUGGUUUGAGAUUUGAGUGCUCAUCAGAGCAGAACUCUGGAUGCAAACUUCCAAGUGCCCUUGUGUGGCUCCGUGCAAAAGCCACUCAGCAGACCGCAGACACUUACCUCGUGAGUGCUUGGUCUCCUGGACGUCGUGUUGCCCCUGGAUGAUUGCUACUAGCUCCUGUGCAGCAGCACUGCCAGAUGUGGGGAUACACAAUCUGUUCCUGACCUUUUGCUGCAGACAGAUGCAAAACCAGGACUGUUCCUACCUUGGCUCUGACUCCUGGUUGUCACACACGUGACCUCAAAGCUACUGCACACCAUCAUGGACCUGCAGAUUCACUGGAGCAAAGCCUCCAAAUGGUAAAUGGAAAAGUCAUCUGGACUUAUCCAUGGCCCUGUUAACUCUGAUGGUGCUGCCCUGGCUGUACUUAACUACCUCCAUUAGGAGGAUAUGUUAUCUUUAACAAAGCCACAGAAGCUUAUUAAGUCACUGAGCAAACCUACAGCAUCCCUUGUACAGGCAGAGAUUCUUCUGAAGCCCCAUCAGAAUUUCUGGUCCAGUCAUCUGCCUCACUCUCUCUGUUCAACAUCUGUGGUGCUCUUAUUCAGCAGGAAAAAGCAAAGACAUUUAAAAGAAAACAAGAAACAGAACACGAUGCAAACAAACCAAAUUAAAGAAAAUGUUUUAAAGGAUUUCAUUACUCACAAGAUGUGAGAUGGUCAUGUGUUUGAAACUACAAUAUUAUUUCUGGCAACCGGUCUCGUGAUGUCCUUUUGUUGAUUUUUCCAACCUCUCAAAAAACUGGAGUGAAAAUAUUUUAGUGAUGUUACCAUCCCUGGGAACAGUUUGUCAACAUUGACCCAGGUUAAUGCUGCAAACUCAAAAUAUUUGGCAUGUGCUUUUGUAUUUUUACUUCAUCAAAGAGAUUAUAUGGAGUGAAGAUCUGUUCACAUGAAGGCAGUGAGAGAUACUGACAGUGUGCUUAAAGCAAGAGGGGCCCUUUUAUAAAUAUACGUGCACAUAUGCAAAUAUCCUUUUGCAGAUGAUGAUAUAAUCAUGAAAAAGUCAUUACUGUCACAUUAAGGUAGCUGGUUGAUGGGAAAGCUGCAUGGAUAUUGUGGGAAAAUAUAUACCGUAGAAACAAGGACAUAUGCAUCACAGUUCUGUAGCAGUUCUGUGACCGGGGGAAUCAAUGGAGCUUGAUUUUCUAUGGAUUUGUGCCCUGCUUUUAUGACCCUAUCCAGAUUUUCCAAUGUCUCAUAUGAGAUGCUGCACUUUUUACCUCAGAGAGGCACUAACCACUGCUCUUAGCUGACUGCCUAGUUUCAAAAUGCUUUUAAGGAUGUAAGAGGGUUGCUUUUUUUUUGGAUUUUCAUACCUUUGUCAAAUGUGCUUGACAUAGGCCUCAGCAUUUGAAGAUUGAUAGAGAGGUCUCAGGUGUACAAAGAGACAGCACGGUGUCCUAACCCCAAUUUCUGUAAAAUCAAGUUAAGCGUCCUCACACUUACAGCUAUGGAAAAGAAAAACAAAUGUGAAUUAGAACAGAAAACGUGAUUUUAAAUAUAAAUAUGGAAUGUAAUGGCUAAGGAAAAGAAGAUAAAUACGCAGAUUAAGAAUCAGUCAUUCAGGGGAGGUCUUCCACUGACUUGCAAUGAGAAUUUCACACCUAAUUGCAAUCUGUGUCUUUUAAAAUCACACAAUCUCUCCUGUAAAAGUACACAAAACUUCUCACAUAUGACGUUAUUUAAAAAAACUCAUGCAUAUGCUCUGGUGCCUGGGAAUAAACAAAGCUGACUGUUGGUUGCAGAUUGCAGAAAAAAGUCCAGAUUUCAUGGGUUCAUCUGUUACCUUCUAUUUUAUUUUAUUUUAUUUUUUUUAAUUUUAAUUAACAGAUACUGAUUUGUUUUGAGAUUUGUGUUUAGGUAAACAAACAAAAGAAAAGAAAUACUGAAUAAUUCCACUGAGAAUCUUACUGGCUUUGGAGUUUAAUUUUGGCCGGUAAGAGCAAUAGCUCAAUGACAUUGCUUUGACAGAAAAGGCCAACACGAGAGCUUUAAGGGUUUUAAUUUCCCAGAGGGGUCAUAAGGUCCCCUGCUUCCAAGUAUGUUAAAAAGACAAAUCAAACUGAAGAGCCAAGUCAGGUUCAUUAGCUCGGGCAAUCACAAUUACCAAAGCAAACACGCUGCUCCUUUUCUUUGUAUGGAGCCACAAGUUUUGCUAGAUACCAAACAAUGCUUUGGGCUGUGUUUAUAUUAGCGUACCCCCUGUCACCAGGGCCCAAUGAUCCUUGAAAAGGAUCAAACAAUAAAAGGAAAUGCAAGAAGAUAUCUUUUUAGGAUGACAAACACCCCUGCUGCAGCUGCCCCCAUCCCAUGUCCACUGACUCUGGGUUCAGCUGCAGCAGUGACAGGCCCUGAGGCUCAGGGUGCUCAGGAGCUCUUUCAUUUCUGACCAUCAAAGGACCACAAGUAGGGAGCGAGGCCUGAUUCUCUGCAUGAGAGACUGGCACGGCAUGGACUAAGCUGUCCUCUGAAGAUGCAUCAGGCUCUGAAGCCUGAAGUGGACACAGGGAUAUAGACCUAUGGGGUGCUGCAGAGCGGGCUGGACACUGUGCUGAGGGAAUUCAUGGGCUGUCAGGAGAAAGCUGGAGGUUGUGUAAAUACCAGCAGCCUCAGCCCUUCCAGCUGUGAGUCACACGAAUCAUUAAACUACUCAUAUAUCUCCUUAUCUUUCACCUCUUCCCUCUUUUUAUUGGAGUUAUUCUCCAGUUCUGUUGUCUUUCAAGUCACACCCUGUUUUCUCCAGUUUAGGAUCUUUCCAUAGCUGAGCUUAUGUUAUGAUUUGCAGGCCUUUCACAUCUCUGAAAUGCUGUAAGCAGUGCUUCUGAACUGAAUUCACCACAUAUUUGAUCUAGGCAAUGACAUGGUGCUAAGCCAACUGGAAAUGUUGCUUAAAAAAGCCCACAAACAAAUAAGCCAAAAUUUGAGAAACAAAAUCAAAGACUUACACACAAAAUGUAUAGAUGACUGGAAUCACAGAAUCUUUUGAGUUGGAAGGGACCCUUAAAGGUCACCUAGUCCAACUCCCCUGAAAUGAACAGAGACAUCUACAGCUCAACCUGCUCCUUGAAGUUUAUGGCAUAUCCACAGUAAGUUAGUAACAACUAAGAUUAAAAACAUAAUUGGGAUCCCACCGACCAGGUGAAAGGGAACUGAAAACUCAGAAGUCUGCAGUAAGCUGUUCAGCCAAAGUGGGACUCCUAGCAACUCUCAGAGAGAUUAACAGCUUGGUUUUGAAGUUGGAAGAAGACUUUCCAAAACAGAGCACGUUGCAGGGAGAGGUGCCAGCAUCCUGCUGUGUGUGCCUGCAGCCUUGGUGCUUGGCUGUCACCUGCCCUUGUGUGAGGGGUGAGGGAGUGUUAUGGGGAACAGCCUGCUCACUUGCUUUCUGAAGAGAUGGGAAGAACACAGCUGACUCUUUCUCUGAACGGGUAGGAAAGCAUUGCCUCCUUCUCCAGUCCAGCAGGAGCGAUCAUCCGGGGAAGAGGAAGCAAUGUAUGGCUUGUUGUACAAUGGGUGGUGUUGUAUGAUGAUUGUUGUUGCUUUGGAAAAGUUUGCUUUCUUUUCACUUUCUCCUGCCAGGUCAGAACAGGUAUAUCAAAAGGCCUGCUGCAAGCAGCUGGCUCAGGAUCACAGUCUGUCAUCUGGCCCCUGCACUCCUAUAUGUCCCAGUUCUUCUCCUGCAUCAUCUAUCUGCACUUAGUGCAAGUGAAAACCAAAGUGAUAUCUAGUGUUAGUUGUGACCGAGCCAGGAACUCAUGAUAUUUACAGUCCAAAAUAAAUGUUUAUUAUGUUCUGCAACAAAUUCUCUGAUUCUGUGUAAUUCUUUUUGUAAUCAUCUAUGAAGAACUGAUAUUAAGC
Long non-coding RNA from Tympanuchus pallidicinctus (lesser prairie-chicken), 4304 nucleotides. RefSeq lists it as uncharacterized. The transcript is spliced from 3 exons. Lineage: Eukaryota; Metazoa; Chordata; Aves; Galliformes; Phasianidae. The record is from RefSeq and is a predicted model, not a curated record.